GAGAUUUUAUAUUACACCUCAUCUUUAAUUCACGUAUCCUCCUACACACUAAAGAAUGCUAUAGAUAUUUCCCGCACUGUCAGACCGUGGACAUUUGGCUUAGCUGCGUGAACAAUACUCCAAACAACGAACCUUCGAACUGAGACACUGGAUCUGUAACUCUCAGCCGCCUUAGUCCUGCUCGCCUCGCCACUGCCGCGUGGUUACGUCAAGACAGCGGGCGGCCGCGUUCUAGUUUCCUUAGUACUUGUGCGUCCGUGUCAAUACCGUGUGCUGUAAACUGCUGAACGAACUGAGAUACUCAUUCAGUUUUGGUCGCCUCUCCAUUAUCUCGUGGUGACGUAAAGGUGACGGCCCGUGUGUUAGUUUCCCCGGUAAUUGUGCCUCCGUAACAUUGCUGUGUGCAGUGGUCGUGAGAACUGCGAGGCGGCGGUGUAGACUGUGCCGUGGAGAGCCGCGGGGUGUUGGAAUCGCCUGUCAGUCACCUUGAAGGCGUCAUAUUCCCUCCCUGCUCUUCCCCGUGUCUUCCUGUCGAUGUUGGUACUCUCAGGUGCGGGAACAUGGCAAGAGGUGGCGGCGUUGGCAGCUGGUAAUACACCCUCACAGGUGACCAAGGGCAGUACCGUUGCCAGGUGGCCACACAGCCCCCCUCCUCAUACUGCUGGUGAACCUCAGCGUGACAGAUGAUCUCACUAAGGUUACAGGUCAGAGAGAUUACCUGUAUUUACAUCUAAGAUCUCUAGAUGGACGGUACUUGGAACUGAAUCCUGAGACGAAUCAUCUUGGCAGCGCGAGACUCAAGGGACGAGGCUGAUAUGAUUGUGUGUGGCGUAAAUAACAAGCCAGCGUCAAGUACACGAGUUGGGACGAAACGACACCGUGACGCAGUGGGCCUCUGGUCUCGUGGAGAGUGAUCUGCCGCAAGAGGAAGAAUGCACGUGAGUUUUGUCCUGGCCAAGGAAUUCCGGAUAACGCAGGUGUUUGGGAGAGUGGAUGAUCAGACAGGACUGAGUAGAUGCUGAGUCUCGGGAGUGAACUGUGUGGUGCAGGACUGUAGCGGUUAUGCAGUCUCUUUAUAACGAGAGACACAUCGUGGAGGAGGCUGGCGAGUGCUCUCAACACACGUGAAGGAGCGGCGCCAUGGUAACUGUCACCGUGGCCAGGAAGUCUCUUGUGCUGAACACUACAAUGUUGUGUUAUCAAGACUGUUUAUUGGUGCAGCGCAUACAGUCGGAUCACUAAGCGUGUUGUAGUGAUGAAACUAUGGAAACUAUGGCGAAUGAUUAUUGAUCGUUGGAAAAAAGCAUAGGUGUGAUAAUAAUUCGGUGCUUGAGUUACACUAACACUCCAUCACUACCGCCACCACGGCCAUCACCACCAUCACCACCGCCAUAACCACCGCCGCUACUAAGAAUCCGUGUCGUGGCAUCAUGAGGGAAAGCAGCUUGUGUGCUGUCAUCGGGACGGGGCGCUCACAACUUGGAAUCUCACACAAACCUCUCCCAGACCCACCUCUAAUAUCUUCCACCACGGUAAGCCGAGGGUCAUUAUCCACUCAUCUACCUGUACAUUAGCGGCGCCAGGUGAGCAUAGACUAGAGAUUCCUUCAUUACCUUACCUGUUCUUACCUGUUGUGUGCAAUUAAUACUUUACCUGUGUUGAUUACCUUUGUUUUACCUGGCAGUGUCUCGUUCUUAUUCACCUUGCCUCUGUCAGCACAACGAGACCGCCUCCUCUUGUCCUUCAGGUGUGGGAGUGAAGGAAAGGAGUGAAGGAGGUAAAAAGCGAAGACGAAUA
Scylla paramamosain (green mud crab) is the source of this 1797-nucleotide long non-coding RNA. RefSeq lists it as uncharacterized. The record is from RefSeq and is a predicted model, not a curated record. NCBI's taxonomy places the organism in Eukaryota, Metazoa, Arthropoda, Malacostraca, Decapoda, Portunidae. The transcript has 6 exons.